RNAcentral lists this ribosomal RNA (645 nucleotides) under uncultured bacterium. RNAcentral describes it as "bacterial SSU rRNA". It matches the Rfam family "Bacterial small subunit ribosomal RNA", at positions 202 to 842 of the family's 1533-position model. The record is from RNAcentral.
CAAAGGAAGCGAUUCCGGCAACGGAUGGGCAUGCGUGACAUUAGCUAGUUGGCGGGGCAACGGCCCACCAAGGCGACGAUGUCUAGGGGUUCUGAGAGGAAGGUCCCCCACACUGGUACUGAGACACGGACCAGACUCCUACGGGAGGCAGCAGUGAGGAAUAUUGGUCAAUGGGCGCGAGCCUGAACCAGCCAAGUCGCGUGAGAGAUGACGGCCCUACGGGUUGUAAACCUCUUUUGUCGGGGAGCAAAUUCCGCCACGCGUGGCGGAGUCGAGAGUACCCGAAGAAAAAGCAUCGGCUAACUCCGUGCCAGCAGCCGCGGUAAUACGGAGGAUGCGAGCGUUAUCCGGAUUUAUUGGGUUUAAAGGGUGCGUAGGCGGACUGUCAAGUCAGCGGUAAAAUACGGGGGCUCAACCUCCGCCCGCCGUUGAAACUGACGGUCUUGAGUGGGCGAGAAGUAUGCGGAAUGCGUGGUGUAGCGGUGAAAUGCAUAGAUAUCACGCAGAACUCCGAUUGCGAAGGCAGCAUACCGGCGCCCAACUGACGCUGAAGCACGAAAGCGUGGGUAUCGAACAGGAUUAGAUACCCUGGUAGUCCACGCAGUAAACGAUGAAUGCUAGCUGUCCGGGGCGAAUGGGCCCUGG